CCUACGGGUGGCAGCAGUGAGGAAUAUUGGUCAAUGGGCGAGAGCCUGAACCAGCCAAGUCGCGUGAAGGAUGACGGCCCUACGGGUUGUAAACUUCUUUUGUCAGGGAGCAAUUGGGUCCACGCGUGGGCUUAGCGAGAGUACCUGAAGAAAAAGCAUCGGCUAACUCCGUGCCAGCAGCCGCGGUAAUACGGAAGGUCCGGGCGUUAUCCGGAUUUAUUGGGUUUAAAGGGAGCGUAGGCCGGUCUUUAAGCGUGCCGUGAAAUUUUGUGGCUCAACCAUGAGAGUGCGGCGCGAACUGGAGACCUUGAGUGCGCGGAAGGCAGGCGGAAUUCGUGGUGUAGCGGUGAAAUGCUUAGAUAUCACGAAGAACUCCGAUUGCGAAGGCAGCCUACUAAACUGCCACUGACAUUGAUGCUCGAAAGUGUGGGUAUCAAACAGGAUUAGAUACCCCUGUAGUC
RNAcentral lists this ribosomal RNA (461 nucleotides) under uncultured bacterium. RNAcentral's name for it is "partial 16S ribosomal RNA". It matches the Rfam family "Bacterial small subunit ribosomal RNA", at positions 338 to 795 of the family's 1533-position model. The record is from RNAcentral.